UACGUAGGGGGCAAGCGUUGUCCGGAAUCAUUGGGCGUAAAGGGCUCGUAGGCGGCCAACUAAGUCAGACGUGAAAUCCCUCGGCUUAACCGGGGAACUGCAUCUGAUACUGGAUGGCUUGAGAUUGGGAGAGGGAUGCGGAAUUCCAGGUGUAGCGGUGAAAUGCGUAGAUAUCUGGAGGAACACCGGUGGCGAAGGCGGCAUCCUGGACCAACACUGACGCUGAGGAGCGAAAGCCAGGGGAGCAAACGGG
Molecule: ribosomal RNA, 253 nt
Filed under: uncultured bacterium
Lineage: Bacteria
Description: partial 16S ribosomal RNA
Rfam family: Bacterial small subunit ribosomal RNA
Source: RNAcentral